AUCUCCCCGGUUACCCUGUCUUCCCGUCUCCUCCCCGCACCCUCCGCUCCCCUUCUUCCCUCUCUUCCCCCUCCGCCAUCAGAGACUCUGGGUUGGGCUGGGCUGUUACUGGGAUGAGACCAGGAAGCACUGUGACCCUGACACUAGCGAGAGCCUGCAGCGUGGGAGGGCGGGAGCAGGCGGGGUGGCCUGGGGGAGCUGGCCGAGGAGGACAUGGCGGCAGAGCGACUCCAUCUCCAGCUGCUGCGUCUGCUCUGUCUAGAGCCCCCUCUAGAGCGAACCUGCACCUCAGGCUUUGAGGACGCUGUCACCUGAGGACAUUUAUCCAGUGGCUGCGGUGACCGUGGCAUCCCUGUCUGGCCUCCGCCCAGUGCCUCAGCCCUUCUCGAGCUGCUCCGUGUGCCCGUCCCGGCGAGCGAGGGACCCGCAGCGGGACCCGCGGCCCCCGCCCCCUCCCGCUCUACGACAGCUCCUCGGGCUCGGUGGCCACGGAGCAGCGCUCAAUCCGCUGUCUGCUCCCGGCUGCGAUGAUGACUGGUUUCCUUGGCGACCUGUCCAGCCCGGCCACCAGCUGCUGGGGCCCCAGAGGUGGGGAGCACUGGUGUCCCCCCCCAGUGGCUGGGCUGCCUCAGCACCACCACCCCCGCCUCUCCAGACCAGAGACAGUGGGCGAUUCCGCGAAGGUCACACAGCGGGGACCCAUCCCGAGCAAAUCCUCUGCCUCGCUUUGGCUACACCCUGCACCCCUGGGGAGGCCCGAGUGGAGGUCCCAGCCGCGCGAGGUGGCACAAGCCUCGUAAUUGCAGCACUGGGGAGGACGAGGCAGGCAGGUCGCGCGAGCUCGAGGGCAGCCUGGGCUACACAGGAAGACCUUGUCUCAAAAAAAAAACAAACAA
RNAcentral lists this long non-coding RNA (896 nucleotides) under Chinchilla lanigera (long-tailed chinchilla). RNAcentral describes it as "lncRNA (ENSCLAG00000027345.1)". Lineage: Eukaryota; Metazoa; Chordata; Mammalia; Rodentia; Chinchillidae. The record is from RNAcentral.